UUUUUGAAUUGAUAAUUUAAAGUCUAAUCUGCCCACUGAUAAUAAAUUAAAGGGCUGCAGUAUAUUGACUGUACAAAGGUAGCAUAAUCAAUAGUCUCUUAAUUGGUGACUUGUAUGAAAGAUUUGAUGAGAUAUAAACUGUCUCUUUAUAAUUUUUAGAAUUUAAUUUUUUAGUUAAAAAGCUAAAAUAUAUUUAAAAGACGAGAAGACCCUAUAGAGUUUAAUAUUUAAUAUGUAUAUUAAAUAUUUUUUAUAAAAUUUAAAAUUUUAAUAUUAAUAAAUAUUUUGUUGGGGUGACAGAAAAAUUAAAAUAACUUUUUUUUAUAAUUUUACAUUAAUAAAUGGUUAAAUGAUCCGUAAUUUACGAUUAUAAGAAAAAAUUACCUUAGGGAUAACAGCGUAAUUUUUUUUUUUAGUUCAAAUAAGAAAAAAAGUUUGCGACCUCGAUGUUGGAUUAAGAUAAAAUUUAAAUGCAAAAGUUUAAAAUUUUUGAUCUGUUCGAUCAUUAAAAUCUUACA
Molecule: ribosomal RNA, 518 nt
Filed under: Parnassius mnemosyne ochraceus
Lineage: Eukaryota; Metazoa; Arthropoda; Insecta; Lepidoptera; Papilionidae
Description: partial 16S ribosomal RNA
Rfam family: Bacterial large subunit ribosomal RNA (bases 391-518)
Source: RNAcentral